This 575-nucleotide ribosomal RNA is filed under the name uncultured rumen bacterium. Its description in RNAcentral is "bacterial SSU rRNA". It matches the Rfam family "Bacterial small subunit ribosomal RNA", at positions 347 to 916 of the family's 1533-position model. The record is from RNAcentral.
GGCAGCAGCUAAGAAUAUUCCGCAAUGGACGAAAGUCUGACGGAGCGACGCCGCGUGGAUGAUGAAGGCCGGAAGGUUGUAAAAUCCUUUUAUGACUGAGGAAUAAGUGAAGUGAGAGAAACGCUUCAUGGUGACUGUAGGUCGUGAAUAAGCAACGGCUAAUUACGUGCCAGCAGCCGCGGUAACACGUAAGUUGCGAGCGUUGUUCGGAAUUAUUGGGCGUAAAGGGUAUGUAGGCGGUUCUGCAAGUCUGGUGUGAAAUUCCGGGGCUCAACCCCGGGACUGCGUUGGAAACUGCAGGACUUGAAUCGCUGAGGGGCAGCCAGAAUUCCAGGUGUAGGGGUGAAAUCUGUAGAUAUCUGGAAGAAUACCAAUGGCGAAGGCAGGCUGCCAGCAGAUGAUUGACGCUGAGGUACGAAGGUGCGGGGAGCAAACAGGAUUAGAUACCCUGGUAGUCCGCACAGUCAACUAUGUACACUGGGUGUCCGCACAUGAGUGUGGGUGCCGAAGCAAACGCGAUAAGUGUACCGCCUGGGGAGUAUGCCCGCAAGGGUGAAACUCAAAGGAAUUGACGG